UCAACCUGGUUGAUCCUGCCAGUAGUCAUAUGCUUGUCUCAAAGAUUAAGCCAUGCAUGUCUCAGUGUAAACACGUUGAACUGUGAAACUGCGAAUGGCUCAUUAAAUCAGUUAUUAUUUACUUGAUCGUGGUGUGCACAUGGAUAACUGUGCUAAAUGUAGAGCUAAUACAUGCCUCAAAUCCCGCGUUCGAG
RNAcentral lists this ribosomal RNA (194 nucleotides) under uncultured eukaryote. Its description in RNAcentral is "partial 18S ribosomal RNA". It matches the Rfam family "Eukaryotic small subunit ribosomal RNA", at positions 1 to 193 of the family's 1831-position model. The record is from RNAcentral.